UGGGGGAUAUUGCACAAUGGGCGAAAGCCUGAUGCAGCGACGCCGCGUGGGGGAUGAAGGCUUUCGGGUUGUAAACCUCUUUCGCUAUCGAACAAGGCCCGCUUAGGGUGGGUUGAGGGUAGGUGGAGAAGAAGCGCCGGCUAACUACGUGCCAGCAGCCGCGGUAAUACGUAGGGCGCGAGCGUUGUCCGGAAUUAUUGGGCGUAAAGGGCUUGUAGGCGGGUUGUUGCGCCUGCUGUGAAAACGCGGGGCUUAACUUCGCGCGUGCAGUGGGUGCGGGCAGGCUUGAGUGUGGGAGGAGUGACUGGAAUUCCAGGUGUAGCGGUGGAAUGCGCAGAUAUCUGGAGGAACACCGAUGGCGAAGGCAGGUCACUGGGCCAUUACUGACGCUGAGGAGCGAAAGCAUGGGUAGCGAACAGG
RNAcentral lists this ribosomal RNA (420 nucleotides) under bacterium. RNAcentral's name for it is "partial 16S ribosomal RNA". It matches the Rfam family "Bacterial small subunit ribosomal RNA", at positions 355 to 776 of the family's 1533-position model. The record is from RNAcentral.